Molecule: ribosomal RNA, 446 nt
Filed under: uncultured eukaryote
Lineage: Eukaryota
Description: bacterial SSU rRNA
Rfam family: Eukaryotic small subunit ribosomal RNA
Source: RNAcentral
CCUGACGGUAGUCGUAUGCUCGUCUCCGAGACUAAGCCAUGCAAGUCCAAGUACACGUCCUUGAACGACGGAAACUGCGAACGGACUCAGUUAAAUCAGUUGCGAUCUACGUCGGCGUUCCGCGCCGCCGGAUAACCGUAGUAAUUCUAGGGCUAAUACGUGCGAAGCGCCCGAAGACCGCGAGGCGACGGGCGUUCUCGCCGGAUGUAGGAACCGACCCGGGGACCGCCGGGGCAACCCCGGCGCCCCCGAGACGGGGCGAACCACGGUGAAAUGACGGAUCGUCGGCCCCGCGCCGGCGACUCGCCGAAUGAGUUUCUGACCUAUCAACUCGAGACGGCGGGGUAGAGGCCCGCCGCGGUAACGACGGGUAACGGGGAAUCAGGGUUCGAUUCCGGAGAGGGAGCCCGAGAAACGGCUACCACUUCCAAGGAAGGCAGCAGGCG